RNAcentral lists this ribosomal RNA (844 nucleotides) under uncultured bacterium. Its description in RNAcentral is "bacterial SSU rRNA". It matches the Rfam family "Bacterial small subunit ribosomal RNA", at positions 534 to 1381 of the family's 1533-position model. The record is from RNAcentral.
GGGCCCGUUGUCGGGAUAUUGGGCGUAAGAGCUUGUAGGUGGCUUGUCGCGUCUGCCGUGAAAACCCGAGGCUCAACCUCGGGCGUGCGGUGGGUACGGGCAGGCUAGAGUGUGGUAGGGGAGACUGGAACUCCUGGUGUAGCGGUGAAAUGCGCAGAUAUCAGGAAGAACACCGAUGGCGAAGGCAGGUCUCUGGGCCAUUACUGACACUGAGAAGCGAAAGCAUGGGUAGCGAACAGGAUUAGAUACCCUGGUAGUCCAUGCCGUAAACGUUGGGCACUAGGUGUGGGGGACAUUCCACGUUUUCCGCGCCGUAGCUAACGCAUUAAGUGCCCCGCCUGGGGAGUACGGCCGCAAGGCUAAAACUCAAAGGAAUUGACGGGGGCCCGCACAAGCGGCGGAGCAUGCUGAUUAAUUCGAUGCAACGCGAAGAACCUUACCAAGGCUUGACAUGCACUGGACGGCUGCAGAGAUGUGGCUUUCUUUGGGCUGGUGCACAGGUGGUGCAUGGUUGUCGUCAGCUCGUGUCGUGAGAUGUUGGGUUAAGUCCCGCAACGAGCGCAACCCUCGUUCUAUGUUGCCAGCACGUGAUGGUGGGGACUCAUAGGAGACUGCCGGGGUCAACUCGGAGGAAGGUGGGGACGAUGUCAAAUCAUCAUGCCCCUUAUGUCUUGGGCUUCAAGCAUGCUACAAUGGUCGGUACAAUGGGUUGCGAAACUGUGAGGUGGAGCGAAUCCCAAAAAGCCGGCCUCAGUUCGGAUUGGGGGUCUGCAACUCGACCCCAUGAAGUCGGAGUCGCUAGUAAUCGCAGAUCAGCAACGCUGCGGUGAUACGUUCCCGGCCU